AAUAGAUACCCAGGUAGUCCACGCCGUAAACGAUGGAUACUAGCUGUUCGGAGCAAUCUGAGUGGCUAAGCGAAAGUGAUAAGUAUCCCACCUGGGGAGUACGUUCGCAAGAAUGAAACUCAAAGGAAUUGACGGGGGCCCGCACAAGCGGUGGAGCAUGUGGUUUAAUUCGAUGAUACGCGAGGAACCUUACCAAGGCUUAAAUGUAGAUUGACCGGUUUGGAAACAGAUCUUUCGCAAGACAAUUUACAAGGUGCUGCAUGGUUGUCGUCAGCUCGUGCCGUGAGGUGUCAGGUUAAGUCCUAUAACGAGCGCAACCCCUGUCGUUAGUUGCCAGCGAGUGAUGUCGGGAACUCUAACGAGACUGCCAGUGUAAACUGUGAGGAAGGUGGGGAUGACGUCAAAUCAUCACGGCCCUUACGCCUUGGGCUACACACGUGCUACAAUGGCCGGUACAGAGAGCAGCCACUGGGCGACCAGGAGCGAAUCUAUAAAACCGGUCACAGUUCGGAUCGGAGUCUGCAACG
RNAcentral lists this ribosomal RNA (527 nucleotides) under uncultured bacterium. RNAcentral's name for it is "bacterial SSU rRNA". It matches the Rfam family "Bacterial small subunit ribosomal RNA", at positions 777 to 1312 of the family's 1533-position model. The record is from RNAcentral.